Molecule: ribosomal RNA, 403 nt
Filed under: uncultured bacterium
Lineage: Bacteria
Description: bacterial SSU rRNA
Rfam family: Bacterial small subunit ribosomal RNA
Source: RNAcentral
UGGGGAAUAUUGCACAAUGGAGGGAACUCUGAUGCAGCGACGCCGCGUGAGUGAAGAAGGUCUUCGGAUCGUAAAACUCUGUCCUUGGUGAAGAAACUGACGGUAGCCAAGGAGGAAGCCCCGGCUAACUACGUGCCAGCAGCCGCGGUAAUACGUAGGGGGCGAGCGUUGUCCGGAUUUACUGGGCGUAAAGGGUGAGUAGGCGGUUAUGUAUGUCAGGUGUAAAAGGCGUAGGCUUAACUUACGUUAGCACUUGAAACUGCAUAACUUGAGUGCAGGUGAGGUAAGCGGAAUUCCUAGUGUAGCGGUGAAAUGCGUAGAUAUUAGGAGGAACACCAGUGGCGAAGGCGGCUUACUGGACUGUAACUGACGCUGAGUCACGAAAGCGUGGGUAGCAAACAGG